AACGAACGCUGGCGGCAUGCCUAACACAUGCAAGUCGAACGAGAUCCUUCGGGGUCUAGUGGCGCACGGGUGCGUAACGCGUGGGAACCUGCCUUGAGGUUCGGAAUAACUCAGAGAAAUUUGAGCUAAUACCGGAUAAUGUCUUCGGACCAAAGAUUUAUCGCCUUUAGAUGGGCCCGCGUUGGAUUAGCUUGUUGGUGGGGUAAAGGCCUACCAAGGCGACGAUCCAUAGCUGGUCUUAGAGGAUGAUCAGCCACACUGGGACUGAGACACGGCCCAGACUCCUACGGGAGGCAGCAGUGGGGAAUAUUGGACAAUGGGCGAAAGCCUGAUCCAGCAAUGCCGCGUGAGUGAUGAAGGCCCUAGGGUUGUAAAGCUCUUUUACCAGGGAUGAUAAUGACAGUACCUGGAGAAUAAGCUCCGGCUAACUCCGUG
RNAcentral lists this ribosomal RNA (435 nucleotides) under uncultured Porphyrobacter sp. Its description in RNAcentral is "bacterial SSU rRNA". It matches the Rfam family "Bacterial small subunit ribosomal RNA", at positions 29 to 507 of the family's 1533-position model. Lineage: Bacteria; Pseudomonadati; Pseudomonadota; Alphaproteobacteria; Sphingomonadales; Erythrobacteraceae. The record is from RNAcentral.